GUGGGUGUGUUAGAGUGGUUAUUGGGCAUGACUAGAAAUUAUGUGUGUUUUGCUUGCGCGGGUUCAAAUCCUGCCGCUCACG
This 82-nucleotide transfer RNA is filed under the name Ipomoea nil (Japanese morning glory). It matches the Rfam family "tRNA". Rfam says of the family: Transfer RNA (tRNA) molecules are approximately 80 nucleotides in length. Their secondary structure includes four short double-helical elements and three loops (D, anti-codon, and T loops). The record is from Rfam by way of RNAcentral. Lineage: Eukaryota; Viridiplantae; Streptophyta; Magnoliopsida; Solanales; Convolvulaceae.